GUUUUUCACCAAUGUAUUCAUGAAACACAAUAAAUCUUUUUAAUAUCAAAAUAAGAUCAUAUAUUUAGAAAUUUUUGUUUGUAAUCAAGAUCAUUGAAAGACACAUCAUUUGAACCAAUAUUAGUAUACUUUGAAGAUAAGAAAUGAUAUGUUUCGGAUGCGUAUCGGAGCAAUCACCAAAGGCAUCAAAAUUAAUUCUGUUUUUCUUAAAGUAAGACUUUAUUUAAAAAUCACAUUUAGUUUAAGCUUUUAUACAAAAUCAGAUUCUGAAUUACAUAGGAUUUUCAAUAGAAGCUUUCUAAGUCAUAAUAUGAGAUAUGGAUCUUCCACAUUGUAGCUCAUCUUAAAUCAUUAUGAUUGAAGACACAUAUUUCACACAUAUAAGAGGAUAUUCAGAAUAUUUGUAUUUAUGUUUAGCACAUUAUAUACCAAGGUUAAGAAAGUUGAAGGAUAGAACAAACUUAAUUCAUUUUGCCUAAAUAGAAAUAUCCUUCUCUUCUCCUUUUUACAAAUUUAUUCACCUUUCAUAUUUUAACGAUGAUUGUGAAUGACAAAUCUGAAAUUUCUUUUUAAUAAUACAAAAAAAAUUAUAUAGUAUUCCAAAUAUUCAAUCAAAUUAUCCAAGCAUGAAGCAUUGUAAAACAUUGAGAACCCAUAAAUCAAGACAUCAUACCAUAUGCAAAAUAUAUUAUGUGUUAAGCCAUGUAUUAAAAUAACAAGCAUGUCAAUGAUCAAAAUCAAUUCUUUUCAAAUAAAACUCCCCCUAUUUAAAUAUACUCUUGCAUUGAUUUCAUUCCUAAAUUGUGUUUUCAAGUGAUUAAAAAAAAAUUUGACUUGAUUCUUCUUAUAUACUUUCAUUAACUUUGUCUUUCAUGUUUACUUUCUUAUGCUCUAUACUCUAUUUGCUCCCUAUCCGGUGGAGUUGGGAAGGGGCACGAGGUACUACCACUAGCCUCCCUCUUGUGCCGUCCCUAAUAUGCCCCUACACCGAAU
RNAcentral lists this long non-coding RNA (993 nucleotides) under Phoenix dactylifera (date palm). RNAcentral describes it as "long non-coding RNA (PDAC_LNC016148)". The record is from RNAcentral. Lineage: Eukaryota; Viridiplantae; Streptophyta; Magnoliopsida; Arecales; Arecaceae.